This 253-nucleotide ribosomal RNA is filed under the name uncultured bacterium. RNAcentral describes it as "partial 16S ribosomal RNA". It matches the Rfam family "Bacterial small subunit ribosomal RNA", at positions 524 to 776 of the family's 1533-position model. The record is from RNAcentral.
UACGAAGGGGGCUAGCGUUGCUCGGAAUCACUGGGCGUAAAGCGCACGUAGGCGGCUUUCUAAGUCAGGGGUGAAAUCCUGGAGCUCAACUCCAGAACUGCCUUUGAUACUGGGGAGCUUGAGUCCGGGAGAGGUGAGUGGAACUCCGAGUGUAGAGGUGAAAUUCGUAGAUAUUCGGAAGAACACCAGUGGCGAAGGCGGCUCACUGGCCCGGUACUGACGCUGAUGUGCGAAAGCGUGGGGAGCGAACAGG